UUUGGUCUGAAACCGCGUUUACCAAAGAAGAAUGAAAACGAAUGCUUGCUGUCCGAUUAUUAAAGAUUAAAGAAAGUGGGAAGCUUGUUUAAAGUAGUUUCUAGUUAAUUGCAUUGCAUUCCAUUUCACAUUUUAGAUAAGGCUGGGCUUGUGCUUGGGUUCUACUCUAGUUUGACGCCCUGGAUCUUGUUUUCUCUCCGUAAGUUUCCUCCCAUCCAUACUAUUAAUAUUCCUCGAGCUUUAACUUUACAUAUUUGAUCCCCAUAUCUUGCACAGUUGUAUGUAUAUAUCUAUACACAUAAAGAAAAGUUGAUGAAACACUGAUCACAUAUCUACUCAUAUAAGCUGCUGCUACCGCAGUUGCACACACAGAAAUGAGAAUUGAAGUGUUUUUAGUAGUGUUUUUGUCAUCAAUUGGCGGUGGUAAUAGUGUAUCUAGCAGCAGCUUGAGUCCUGAUGGACAAACCUUAUUGGCACUUGCGGCGCGUUGGACACUUGUUCCUUCUUCCAUCACUACCACCUGGAUUCAUCAUGAUAACAACACUCAAACUCCUUGUUCCUGGGUUGGAGUGGUGUGUAACAAACGCCAAAAUGUGAAAGCCUUGAAUCUAUCCUCUUUUGGAAUUUCUGGUACUUUAGGGCCAGAAUUUGAAUCCCUCUCCUACCUCACCACCAUUGACCUGAGCUUCAACUAUUUUUUCGGAACUAUUCCUCCCCAAUUAGGAAACUGUUCUCUUCUUUACGCGCUAGAUCUCUCGUCUAAUUCCCUUUCAGGACAGAUCCCACCUACUCUAUCCAACUUGAAUCGCCUAGUAUACCUCGCUGCUGAUUCCAACUCUCUCAAUGCUUCCAUACCCGAUUCACUCUUCCAAAUCCGCACCCUCCAAAUUAUUUACUUGUAUGAUAAUAAACUAUCUGGUCCGAUUCCCUCUAGUGUUGGUAACAUGACCGACCUAAUUUACCUCUACUUGGACACAAAUAAUCUCUCUGGAACUAUUCCCUCUUCCAUUGCCAAUUGUACCAAGUUGCAAAAUCUUGUGUUAUCUGCUAACCAACUCAGUGGAACACUGCCAAGCAGUUUUUAUUAUCUACGAGGCCUUGUACUGGUGGAUUUCAACUCGAACAAUAUUCAAGGAAGCAUUCCUUUUGGUUCUGGUAGCAGUUGUAGACUAUUGGAAGUUUUGGAUUUGUCUUUUAAUAGUUUUGCUGGGCUGAUUCCACCACAGUUAGGAAACUGUACUAGUUUAACAAUGUUUUCUGCGGUAAGUUCUGGAAUAACCGGUCAUAUCCCUUCUUCUAUUGGCCAGCUUUCUGUCUUGAACACUCUUGUCCUUUCUCAAAAUCUCUUGUCUGGAAACAUACCACCUCAGCUUGGUCAAUGUAGGUCCUUGAUAGACUUGGAACUAUAUUCCAAUAAACUUGAGGGGGAACUACCAAGUGAAUUAGGAAUGCUAAGUGCAUUGGAGAGGCUUUACCUAUUUGAAAACCAGCUAUCAGGUGAAAUUCCUUUCGGAAUUUGGAAAAUUGAAACCCUUGUUGAACUUCAUUUGUACUCUAACCUUUUUACAGGGGAAAUUCCUCUUCUUGUUACCGAGCUUAAGAAUUUGAGGAACUUUACUAUUUACAACAAUCAGUUUUCUGGUAUUGUACCUCAGGGUCUGGGUAUCAAUAGCAGUCUGGAAGUAGUGGACUUCACAAAUAAUACAUUGACCGGCCAGAUCCCACCAAACCUUUGCUUUAAGAAAAAACUACGGAGAUUGACUUUGGGAUCUAAUUACUUUGAAGGUAGUAUUCCUUCUGAUAUAGGAAGUUGCACUUCUUUAGAAAGACUGAUCCUAGAGCAAAAUAACCUUUCUGGAAUUCUUCCGAAUUUUGUAAAAAAUGCCGGCCUCGUGUACAUUGACUUGAACAAUAAUAGAAUCAGUGGGGAAAUUCCUGCAAGCUUGAGGAACCUGACAAAUAUUACCUCAAUUAACUUCUCCCUAAACAAGCUUACAGGGGUAAUACCCCAGGAGCUGGGAGACCUGAUUCACCUUCAGAGUCUUAAUCUCUCUCAAAAUAAUUUGAAAGGUCCUUUGCCUUCUCAACUGUCAAAUUGCAAAAUGUUGUUACAGUUCGAUGUGAGCUAUAAUCAUUUAAACGGCUCAAUUUCUUCUAGUUUCAAAAACAUGGUAAGGCUGGCAUCUCUCGUUUUAAGUGGAAAUCAGUUUACUAAUGGGCUGCCACCUUUUUUGUUUGAUCUUGAAAGUCUUUUGGAUUUGCAACUUGGUGAAAAUCUAUUAGGUGGAGAAUUUCCUGCAUUGAUAAGAUCUGUUGCAGCAGUACAGGUGUUGAAAGCACUAAAUCUCAGUAGUAAUCGGUUAUCAGGGAACGUUCCUGCAGAAGUGGGAAACUUUUUGACGUUGGAGAUUCUAGAUGUAUCUAGCAACAAUCUAACUGGGACUUUGGACGCCCUUUCAAGCCUCCGAUCUUUAAUCAGUGUCAAUGUCUCAUAUAACUUGUUUACGGGUGCAGUACCAACAACAUUAAUGAAGUUGUUGAGCUCGUCUCCGUCUUCAUUUAUGGGAAAUUUGGGACUUUGUGCCAACUGUCUCCCAAGUGAUAGCUUGACUUGUAAUAUUAGCAGAAACUUAAGGCCUUGUUACAAGAAAUCAAGCGGUCGGAAAGGCAUUGGAAAGGUGCAAAUUGUGGUGAUAGCUCUUGCAACAUCAUUAUUCGCUGUUUUUGCCUUCCUUUUACUGUGUUAUUUGUUUUCACGACGAAGGAUCCUGGAGCAGGAAGCAGUAAUCUCUGCUGAAGAGGGUGCUUCAUCUCUUCUUCAGAAGGUAAUGGAAGCUACUGAGAAUCUGAAUGAGAAGUAUAUUAUUGGGACUGGAGCCCAUGGCACCGUCUACAAGGUUUCAUUGGACCCAGAAAAAGUGUAUGCGGUAAAAAAGCUUACAUUUACAGGAAUGAAUGAGGGACACACGAGCAUGGUUAGAGAAAUUCAGACGAUUGGGAAGGUCAAGCACCGGAAUCUAGUCAAACUGGAACAAUUUUGGUUGAGAAAGGACUAUGGUUUAAUUUUAUAUAGUUACAUGCAAAACGGAAGUCUUCAUGAUGUUCUUCACGUGAGAUGUCCACCAGCAGCCUUAGAUUGGAAUACUCGUUAUCAGAUAGCACUAGGAACUGCUCAUGGUCUAGCAUAUCUCCACUUUGACACAGAUCCUGCCAUUGUGCACCGUGAUAUCAAACCAAUGAACAUUCUUUUGGACUUUGAUAUGGAGCCUCAUAUAUCAGAUUUUGGCAUUGCCAAAAUUCUGGAUCAAUCUUCUGCUUCAAUGCCAACCACUUCAGUCCAGGGAACUAUUGGAUAUAUUGCCCCGGAAAAUGCAUUCACCACAACAAAGAGCAAGGAAUCUGAUGUCUACAGUUAUGGUGUUGUUUUGCUGGAGCUAUUAACUAGAAAAAAGGUCCUGGAUCCGUUGUUUACCGAGGGCCACGACAUAGUAAGCUGGGUUGCAGCUAGUUGGAGUAACACCAAGGAAAUAACAGGGAUCAUAGACCCAGGCCUUUUGAACGAAGUCCUUAGUUCAGGUAUCAUAGAACAAGUGACUGAUGUUCUUUUAGUGGCUUUGAGAUGCACAGAAAAGGAAGCAAGCAAAAGGCUCUCAAUGAGACAAGUAGUAAAGCAAUUAGAAGAUUCAGCCACACUCUAUAGAAAUAGAACCACAAAUAAUGAGCUAUAGACCAUUGGUCCCUGUUGAAAUAUAAGCUUGCAUCUGUCAGUCAAGCAAAGGAACGUUAUGAGAUGCGUCAUCGCUUUCAGGUCUUGAAAUGUGAGUAUGCAGUCCGAGGAGAGAUUGUCCUUCUGGCCCAGAGAUUACAACAAGACCUGCAAGAAAAACCAGGUUCCCACCCUUUCGAUGAGAUCCUCUAUUGCAAUAUUGGAAAUCCUCAAUCUCUUAAUCAGCGUCCCAUUACAUUCUUUAGAGAGGUACGGAUAACUCUUUAUUCUAGAAUGGUUAUCAUUCUAGAGUAACUAUUAUACGAUUCAGCAUUUAUUUUUGUUAGCCCUGUGUUAGGUUCUUGCAAUAUGUGACCAUCCUGCAAUCUUGGACAAAAGUGAAACACAGGGGUUAUUCAGGUUUUUUUUCCUACACUAACCAGUACUGCAAUCUUGCACUACAUGAUGUUUGAAAGUCAGAAAUGCACUUUGCUAUCAUGUGCAGAUGCCAUUAGACGGGCUUCAGAAAUCCUGAAUCAGAUUCCUGCAAGGGCAACAGGAGCGUAUAGUCAUAGCCAAGUACAAUGGCCUAUUUAGAAUUACUAAGAACUUCUACUUUGUAAGCUUUUAUACAUCUCACUGUAUGAUGAAAUUAUCUUUUCUAUUAAAAUCUUACAACAGGGUAUCAAGGGAUUACGUGAUACAAUUGCUGCUGGUAUUGAAGCUCGCGACAGUUUUCCUGCUGACCCGAAUGAUAUU
Molecule: RNA transcript, 4465 nt
Organism: Daucus carota subsp. sativus
Lineage: Eukaryota; Viridiplantae; Streptophyta; Magnoliopsida; Apiales; Apiaceae
Gene name: alanine aminotransferase 1, mitochondrial
Exons: 6
Source: RefSeq, a predicted model, not a curated record